This 890-nucleotide long non-coding RNA is filed under the name Gopherus agassizii (Agassiz's desert tortoise). RNAcentral's name for it is "lncRNA (ENSGAGG00000014000.1)". The record is from RNAcentral. Lineage: Eukaryota; Metazoa; Chordata; Testudines; Testudinidae.
UAGGGAGAGCAGGGGAUUUCAGGCCAGUCAGGUCCUGCUCCGUGGGAUUCGCUGGGGCGAGGGGGGGCCAGCCUGGGCCACGUUAACCCCCCCUCCCCUCCCCGCCAGGGCUCAGAGUCGGAGCUCGAGGCCCAGCACCAGCGGGCCCAGAAGAGGAGGAAGCGGAAUCCCUCGGAGUCCGGUUCGGAGCUCUCCUCCUCGCCCGGCUCAGAUCUCAGCUCCCGCAAGGCCAGGAAACAGAAGAAGAAAAGCAAGAAGAGGAGGCACAAAUCGAACAGCCCCCAGAGCGAGGGCGAGCGGGGCAGGAAGGGGAAGGAGAAGGAGCCGGAGCGGGCAGAGGGCCGACGGCGCUCCCCCCAGCGCAGCCUCAAGAGGGAGAAGAGCGUCUGGGACACGUCGGACAGUGAGCCGAGCGAGGGCGAGCUGGAGAAGCGGCGUCGGACACUGCUGCAGCAGCUGGACGACGAUCAGUAGCCAGGUCUGCGGGACUGUCGCUGAGCUGGGGCUCCCUCAGCUCCCCACCCCUCUCCCCAGCCUGGGGAGAGGCUCCGGACAGCUCGAUGCGGGCGGGGGGCUCCUGAGAGAGCAGAGAGGGGGCCCCGCUCCACCCAGGACUCCUUCCCCCCAUCCCUGCGGAUCCCCCCCGCACCUGAGGACCCAUCGCCCCUGGGGCUGCUGUGACCACCUCUGCUUGGCUGGCCCCUCGGCGCUCAGAGGACCGGCCCCAGGACAGCGGCGCUUUGGAGGGGGUUCGAAUGCGGCUCUCACAGGUGGUUCUGUGGCUGCGCUGAGGAUCAUGGGUGCCUGGGGCGCCCUGCGGGGUUGGCUGCGGGGGCGUGUGCUGCUGAGUAGCCGGGACCCUCGGCCUGCUCGUACUCUGGGAAUUAAAG